GCAAACUGCACAGGCACACCACACCGAACAGAAUGACCGUGCUUUCCCGUUUUAGUUGAGCUCAAAUUAUUUAAUUAAACACGAAAAUGCGGGUACCGUUGAAUAUCAAUCCCUGCGUGGAUAUUAAGAAACGUUCAUUUAAAUUGUCCAUGUUUACAGUGCUAAACAUUAUCAAAUAAAAUAUUGUGAAAAACGUGUUACUGUAGUGAAAACAUAACCUGAAGUUGUACAUACCUUACUCUAUUACGUGAUAGAAGUGACAACAUCAACAAGCAGGGGAUUUACUGUCGGGGAGACUAUACUCCGUUCAAAUUAACUUCCGACUUGGGAUGGACAUGUGCAGCAGAGAAGGCAUACAGUGGCAGGGAUACAACGGCUGCUAUGUUGCCGUUGUGUACUGGCCAGCGUUCUCUAAUUCCCAGAGUUUAUAGCAAAAUUAGAUUAUGCGACCUCUUCAGUGGGAUGCGGAGGAGUUUCUGAGCGUAUUACUAAUUCACCCACAAUGGCGGAAUCCGGCGGGUCCACUCAAUACUGCACAAAUUACGAGUUCAUGUCUAGAAGGAGUGGGCUGAUGCGGUGCAAUGGAGGAGUAUGGUAACUGAUUCAUUCUCCGGCCAAUAUAAGAUGCAAGAAGUAACUAACUCCAACUUUGAACAUUAUUCAAAAUGUUCCUCAAAUUAUCUCGAAGUUUACGUCUGAAAUCAUAGGUCUUCGGUACAUCAGUCUACUCUGGUCUAGUUUUGUGGAAAUAUUUUAGAAGAUGGAAUUUACCACAGCAUGAAUAUUGUCAUCUCUACACGCCUUCAUAUAAUAUUCUACCAGCAUCUCUAUAGGAUUCUACACUCAUCUCUACAGGAUUCUACACGCAUCUCUACAGGUUUUUCAAGUGCCACGUAAUUUCUAGUUUCUUUACUCAGUAAUUUUAUAGUAUUUAUUUAUAGUUAUUAUUUAUUGGCUGCUUACUAAAUGUAAUUAUUUUUCUGAUACUACACAUCAAUGAUGUAUUUUAACUAUACUCUGAAUUUAACAAGUUGAGACUUGGAAGAAAUAUCUGUAUCAUCAAAAUGUGCGAUUUUUCUAACUUUUCAUUCAAACCCUUAUGACUGAAUAUAUUCAAUAAUAUAACGCUGCAUCGACUAUGUUGUCAAAUUAUAUAUUCAGUUAUAAAGAAUUGCUUGGAAAGGUCUCAAUGUUGCACAAUUUGGCAAAUACGAUAAUUUGUCAGUAUCAACUUGUUUUAUUCAAUGAAUAGGUAUUUUAUGUUUUUUGUUUAGCACCUCUAAAAUAUUCUAGCUUGCCCCAAAUUGCUUUCCAUUGGUUCGGAGCCUACUCUAGCAUUCCGCUAUUUAUUCUAAAAUUGAUUUCUAGUUACUUGGACCACACAUUGAACUUUGAAUCUUUUUAUUUCAUAUUCGUCAAUACAAUUAUUAUCCACACACAAAACUCGGACUUAUGUGGGCCUGAAUCUCAAUAAAAAAUACUUAUGUUUUUUUCCAUACUUGACUCCAUUUGAAAAUUAUAAUUAAUAUUUUUUAUGUCAACUAAACUGUGGGAAAGUAUAUCUUAACUCAGAGUCCAUUAGAUCUACACUUGAACUGAAAAUAGGCCAGCUUCUGUCUCAGUAAGGUGUUGCUCUAUCACUAUUCCGUGUUAUGCAUAUCAAUUGGUAGACCCAUAUCAAGAUUCAAGCAUCAUCUGAAUUAACUAGGGCAGUUAACGAACCAUCAGCUUUAUAUGUCACCUACAACUGCGUCUGUGAGUUACAAAUCUGGAUUACCAAUGCAAUCAAUUGUAGACUUUUAGAAAUUCGCCAUAAUUCAGAUUUAUAAUUUAGAAAUUUGAGACUUUUAGAAAUUCGCCAUUCGAAAGGCCAUUGCAGAACUCGAUGGGUGCGUGAAAUAUAUUUGAAAAGAGAGGAAUUUGGUGAAUUUCAUCACAUUAUGUCAGACUUAAAUAGUGACUACAACUUUUUUCAUGGUUAUCCACGUAUGGAUGAGGAAACCUUUGACUGUAUAGUUGAUGCUAUACGACCUGAUUUAUCUAGAUACAGUAAUUUUUGCAAGAUCAUACCACCUGAAGAAAGAUUAGUUAGUUAUAGCUUUGAUGUAAGAUACACAGUUGGGUGGGUAAUGCACCGUCUUUUUGACAACUCUUUAUUGAACACUUCAUAUUUUAGUAAUAAUUAUUCUCAUUAAUUUGCAAUAAAAUUUCAGGCAUUGCAGAAUUUGACAAUAUUUGGUCAUUUUGUUCCACAAUGCUAUACUGAGGGGAAUUACUAGAAUCAACUAACUCGACAACAGGAAGAUCAUUAUUCUGUUCGUCUCUAAGCACUUGCAUCAAUUUGUUCCGAACUGUCAAUUUGCGUUGUUUGAAGACGUCAUCCAAAAAUGGUAGAAUGGUAGAGAAACUGGAAAUCAGGAUAAUUUUACUUUUGACAGAACUUUUACUUUUCUUUUUCAAUUUUCAUCAGUUUCCUAUCAAUGACCAGUGGCGAUCGGUGCUAUAAAAAGUUAGUGAAGCACUAAUUUGUUGAUGGGGCGGGGGGAGGGAGGUGGUUGUGGUUUGUUUGUUGUGGGUAAUUUUCCUUGACCAUGCGUGUAAUAUUUCCUUUUACUCAUUCUUUUUUCCAUUGAAGCAUAAUCUCACUGUAGACUGACAAGAGAUUUCCUUCUAAACUUAAAAUAACAUGAAAACUCUGCAUUACAAUUUAUUAUUAUCAAGAGAUAUAUCUAAGAAUAAUAUAUAAUUGAAAAAAAAA
Nilaparvata lugens (brown planthopper) is the source of this 2758-nucleotide long non-coding RNA. RefSeq lists it as uncharacterized. The transcript has 5 exons. The record is from RefSeq and is a predicted model, not a curated record. Lineage: Eukaryota; Metazoa; Arthropoda; Insecta; Hemiptera; Delphacidae.